Molecule: ribosomal RNA, 492 nt
Filed under: uncultured bacterium
Lineage: Bacteria
Description: partial 16S ribosomal RNA
Rfam family: Bacterial small subunit ribosomal RNA
Source: RNAcentral
AGUGAACGCUGGCGGUAGGCCUAACACAUGCAAGUCGAACGGCAGCACAGUAAGAGCUUGCUCUUACGGGUGGCGAGUGGCGGACGGGUGAGGAGUACAUCGGAAUCUACUUUUUCGUGGGGGAUAACGUAGGGAAACUUACGCUAAUACCGCAUACGACCUACGGGUGAAAGCAGGGGAUCUUCGGACCUUGCGCGAUUGAAUGAGCCGAUGUCGGAUUAGCUAGUUGGCGGGGUAAAGGCCCACCAAGGCGACGAUCCGUAGCUGGUCUGAGAGGAUGAUCAGCCACACUGGAACUGAGACACGGUCCAGACACCUACGGGAGGCAGCAGUGGGGAAUAUUGGACAAUGGGCGCAAGCCUGAUCCAGCCAUACCGCGUGGGUGAAGAAGGCCUUCGGGUUGUAAAGCCCUUUUGUUGGGAAAGAAAAGCAGCAGGUUAAUACCCCGCUGUUCUGACGGUACCCAAAGAAUAAGCACCGGCUAACUUCGUG